This 497-nucleotide ribosomal RNA is filed under the name uncultured bacterium. RNAcentral's name for it is "partial 16S ribosomal RNA". It matches the Rfam family "Bacterial small subunit ribosomal RNA", at positions 28 to 507 of the family's 1533-position model. The record is from RNAcentral.
GAUGAACGCUGGCGGCGUGCCUAAUACAUGCAAGUCGAGCGAACGGACGAGAAGCUUGCUUUUCUGAUGUUAGCGGCGGACGGGUGAGUAACACGUGGAUAACCUACCUAUAAGACUGGGAUAACUUCGGGAAACCGGAGCUAAUACCGGAUAAUAUUUUGAACCGCAUGGUUCAAAAGUGAAAGACGGUCUUGCUGUCACUUAUAGAUGGAUCCGCGCUGCAUUAGCUAGUUGGUAAGGUAACGGCUUACCAAGGCAACGAUGCAUAGCCGACCUGAGAGGCUGAUCGGCGACCUGAGAACUGGAACACGGACCAGGCUCCUACGGGAGGCAGCAGUAGGGAAUCGUACGCAAUAGGCGAAAGCCUGACGGAGCAACGCCGCGUGAGUGAUGAAGGUCUUCGGAUCGUAAAACUCUGUUAUUAGGGAAGAACAUAUGUGUAAGUAAAUGUACACAUCUUGACGGUACCUAAACAGAAAGCCACGGCUAACUACGUG